Molecule: non-coding RNA, 73 nt
Organism: Pangasianodon gigas (Mekong giant catfish)
Lineage: Eukaryota; Metazoa; Chordata; Actinopteri; Siluriformes; Pangasiidae
Source: the annotation of a GenBank genome assembly
CACACAAGAAGUGGAGCUGCUCCACUGCAGCUGAUGAAGGCUACAGCAGGUGUGUGCAGGAGGCCAUUGACUU